RNAcentral lists this ribosomal RNA (1410 nucleotides) under Enterococcus sp. Its description in RNAcentral is "bacterial SSU rRNA". It matches the Rfam family "Bacterial small subunit ribosomal RNA". Lineage: Bacteria; Bacillati; Bacillota; Bacilli; Lactobacillales; Enterococcaceae. The record is from RNAcentral.
CGUACGCUUCUUUUUCCCCGGAGCUUGCUCCACCGGAAAAAGAAGAGUGGCGAACGGGUGAGUAACACGUGGGUAACCUGCCCAUCAGAAGGGGAUAACACUUGGAAACAGGUGCUAAUACCGUAUAACAAUCGAAACCGCAUGGUUUUGAUUUGAAAGGCGCUUUCGGGUGUCGCUGAUGGAUGGACCCGCGGUGCAUUAGCUAGUUGGUGAGGUAACGGCUCACCAAGGCCACGAUGCAUAGCCGACCUGAGAGGGUGAUCGGCCACAUUGGGACUGAGACACGGCCCAAACUCCUACGGGAGGCAGCAGUAGGGAAUCUUCGGCAAUGGACGAAAGUCUGACCGAGCAACGCCGCGUGAGUGAAGAAGGUUUUCGGAUCGUAAAACUCUGUUGUUAGAGAAGAACAAGGAUGAGAGUAACUGUUCAUCCCUUGACGGUAUCUAACCAGAAAGCCACGGCUAACUACGUGCCAGCAGCCGCGGUAAUACGUAGGUGGCAAGCGUUGUCCGGAUUUAUUGGGCGUAAAGCGAGCGCAGGCGGUUUCUUAAGUCUGAUGUGAAAGCCCCCGGCUCAACCGGGGAGGGUCAUUGGAAACUGGGAGACUUGAGUGCAGAAGAGGAGAGUGGAAUUCCAUGUGUAGCGGUGAAAUGCGUAGAUAUAUGGAGGAACACCAGUGGCGAAGGCGGCUCUCUGGUCUGUAACUGACGCUGAGGCUCGAAAGCGUGGGGAGCAAACAGGAUUAGAUACCCUGGUAGUCCACGCCGUAAACGAUGAGUGCUAAGUGUUGGAGGGUUUCCGCCCUUCAGUGCUGCAGCUAACGCAUUAAGCACUCCGCCUGGGGAGUACGACCGCAAGGUUGAAACUCAAAGGAAUUGACGGGGGCCCGCACAAGCGGUGGAGCAUGUGGUUUAAUUCGAAGCAACGCGAAGAACCUUACCAGGUCUUGACAUCCUUUGACCACUCUAGAGAUAGAGCUUCCCCUUCGGGGGCAAAGUGACAGGUGGUGCAUGGUUGUCGUCAGCUCGUGUCGUGAGAUGUUGGGUUAAGUCCCGCAACGAGCGCAACCCUUAUUGUUAGUUGCCAUCAUUCAGUUGGGCACUCUAGCAAGACUGCCGGUGACAAACCGGAGGAAGGUGGGGAUGACGUCAAAUCAUCAUGCCCCUUAUGACCUGGGCUACACACGUGCUACAAUGGGAAGUACAACGAGUCGCGAAGUCGCGAGGCUAAGCUAAUCUCUUAAAGCUUCUCUCAGUUCGGAUUGUAGGCUGCAACUCGCCUACAUGAAGCCGGAAUCGCUAGUAAUCGCGGAUCAGCACGCCGCGGUGAAUACGUUCCCGGGCCUUGUACACACCGCCCGUCACACCACGAGAGUUUGUAACACCCGAAGUCGGUGAGGUAACCUUUGAG